UACGGAGGGUGCGAGCGUUGUCCGGAAUCACUGGGCGUAAAGGGCGCGUAGGCGGCGCGGGUAGUCAUCGGUGAAAGUUCAGGGCUCAACUCUGAAUCGGCCGGUGAUACUCCCGUGCUCGAGCACUGUAGAGGCAGGUGGAAUUCCGGGUGUAGCGGUGGAAUGCGUAGAUAUCUGGAGGAACACCGGUGGCGAAGGCGGCAUCCUGGACCGGCAUUGACGCUGAGGCGCGAAAGCCAGGGGAGCAAACGGG
RNAcentral lists this ribosomal RNA (253 nucleotides) under uncultured bacterium. Its description in RNAcentral is "partial 16S ribosomal RNA". It matches the Rfam family "Bacterial small subunit ribosomal RNA", at positions 524 to 776 of the family's 1533-position model. The record is from RNAcentral.